GGGAACGCCUUUUGGGAUGUUUCUGGGGAAAGGCCUGAGGUUCUCCAGGAGGGUCUGCAGCUAGGGUCGGCCGUGGGGGCUCGCAGCCCGCUGGACCACCGGACCUGCAAGCGUCCCCCUGCCCCGCCCCCGCCUGGGCGCUCUGAGCAACUGGACUCUGCCAGCUCUAACUCCGGCGGGACGCUGAAACUGCAGGCAAGAGCCGAGCCGGGUGCGAUGAGCUUGAGGUUGCAGUGAUCCAUGAUCAUUCCACUGCACUCCAGCCUGGGGGACAGCAAGACCCUGUCUCAGAAAGAAAGAAAAGAAAAGAAAAGAAAGAAGAAAAAAGAAAUCCUACACGAGAAUGAUAACCAAAUUCAAUUAGUGGUUAUUUCUAGCAUGGGAGCAAGAGCGAUGCCACUGGGAACCAGAGCACAGAUACAAGAUUAUGGUGUAUUGUCAUCAUCCAAUCUCCUUAUAGAAGCAUGUAGUAUAUGGAGAAGACAGUUGACCCAUGGAGAACUAUUCUUAGCUCCUCUGCCAGUGACACUAGUCAACUCAUGGGAGAACUUACCAAUUUGGCCUCUCUGAGAAUAAAGAGGAAGAUAAAUUAAUAAGGUUUGAAUUAUAGAUUUUAAGAAAAUUGUUACUUUUUCAACUUCUUAUUUUGAAAUUUAAAACUUACAGAAAAGUUGCAAAAAUAGAGAGUUCCCUUAUACUCUUUACCGAACUUCCUUCAAUAUUAACUUCUUACAUAACCACAGUACAAACACCAAAACCAGGAAAUUAUGAUUGGUAAAAUACUAUUAACUAAAUUACACUUUCUAAGCAUACUGGUCAGUUGUUUCGUAGACUAUCCCUCAGUACAGGUUUAUCUAAUGUUUUCUCAUUAUUAGAUUGAGGUUGUGCAUUAUUGGCAGAAAUAUCAAAAAAGUGAUGUAGCCUUCUCAAUAUCAUGGCAUACAUAAUGUUGAUAUAUCUUAUCAUUCGUGAUAUUAACUUUGAUCACUUGGUUUACCUGGUGUCUGCAGGCUUUCUCCACUGUAAAGUUACUAUUUUUCUCCUUGUAAUUAACAUAUGUCAUAUGGAGAGAUGUGUUGAAGCUAUGAAAAUAUUCUGUUUCUCAUCAUACUUUCACCUCCUAAUUUUAACUGUAAUCCAUUGAUGGUUCUUGCCUGCAACAAUUGGUGUUUAACUAACGACUAGAUAAAAGUAAUUGCUGUAGGAUUCAAAUCAACAAGCGUUCUGACUUGGAAGAUUUGUUGAAUUAGUAUGAAGUCACAUCUAAAAUUUGAAAGAAACGGAGUCUCACUAUUUUGCCCAAGCUGGUCUUGAACUCCUGUCCUCAAGCAGGAUAUCCUCCUGCCUCGGCCUCCCAAAGUUCUGGGAUUACAGACGUAGUCUUGCUCUGUCUCCAGGCCGGAGUGCAUGCUGGAGUGCCAUCUUGGCUUACUACAACCUCUGCCUCCCGGGUUCAAGCGAUUUUCCUGCCUCAGCCUCCUGAGUAGCUGGGACUACAGGGAUGCACCUCCACGCUCAGCUAAUUUUUGUAUUUUUAGUAGAGAUGGGGUUUCACCACGUUGGCCAGGAUGGUCUUGAUCUCUUGACCUCGCGAUCCACCCGCCUCGGCCUCCCAAAGUGCAUUACAGGCAUGAGUCACCACGCCUGACCUGAAGUUAUUUUUCUAUACAGUUCUUAGAGGAAGUGUUUGGGUCACCUACAAAGCCAUGUAGUUCUCGACACUGGUUACUAGAGGAUUUAUAGAGGAUGUUCAUAUAUUCAACAAGCAUUUGUUGAAUACCUACUAUGUGCUAGCCAUGAAAAUAUGGGAUUGAAAAAAACAGACAAAAAUCCCUAAUCUCUCUUACAAUCUAGUGAGGACAAUCAGACAGUAAACAAAAUAAGCAUAAUAUAUAGUAAUCAUGUGGUAGUAAGUUCUAUAGAGCAAAAACAAGUUUAAAGAAGGAGGUUGGAGGGAGUGUUGAGAUGCUUAAGGUUUGCAGUUAUAAAUGUGGUGGUUAGGGAAUCAUUUGCUGAAAAAUGAACAUUGAGCAAAAACCUGAAGGAUGUUAAAGGAAUAAGAUACAUGUAAUCUAGAUGAAAGUUUUUUGGAUAAAGGGAAGAGCAAUUGCUAAAUCCCUGAGGUGGGAGUGGGCUGUUCAUAAGACAGCAAAGCAGCCAGGGUAGCUGAGUGAUUGAGAGCGGAACAUGGAAAAUGGGGAACAGUUGGUGUAGGAUCUAGUUGUGAGGAUAUUGACUUUUUUUUUUUCCAAGACAGAGUCGUGCUUUGUCGCCCAGGCUAGAGUGCAGUGGCGUGAUCUUGGCUCACUGCAAUCUCUGCCUCCCGGAUUCAAGCAAUGCUUCUGCCUUAGCCUCCCCAGUAGCUGGGAUUACAGGCGCCUGCCACCAUGUCCAGUUAAUUUUUGUAUUUUUAGUAGAGAUGGGGUUUCGCCAUGUUAGCCAGGCUGGUCUUGAACUCCUGACCUCAAGUGAUCUGCCCGCCUCAGCCUCCCAAAGUGCUGGGAUUACAGGCAUGAGCCACCAUGCCCAGCCUAGGGUAUUUACUUUUAUUUUGAAUAAGAAUGCCACUGGAGGCCGGACAUGGUGGCUCACGCCUAUAAUCCCAGCACUUUGGGAGGACGAGGCGGGUGGAUCACGAGGUUAGGAGAUCAAGACCAUCCUGGCCAACAUGGUGAAACCCCGUCUCCACUAAAAAAAAAAAAAAAAAAAAAAAUUAGCCAGGUGUGGUUGCAUGCGCCUGUAGUCCCAGCUACUCAGGAAGCUGAGGAAGGAGAAUCACUUGAACCCAGGAGGUGGAGGUUGCAGUGAGCCGAGAUCGCCCCACUGCACUCCAGUCUGGGUGACAGAGCAAGACUCUGUCUCAAAAAAAAAAAAAAAAAAAGCCACUGGAGAGCUCUAAGGAGAGGAUCAGUCUGGCUACUGGGUUGAGAAUUAAUCAUAGCAGGCAAAGGCAAAAGAAGUGAGGUUAGUUAGGAGGCUUUACAACAACCCAGAUGAGAGAUGGGAGGUUUUAGCCAGGGAGAUGGAGAUGUUGAGAGAGUAGCUGGACUUGGGAUUGUGACAGUGGACUGCAGGAAAAGCAGGUUUUUGGGGGAAGACUGCAUUUCUCCCUUCAACUUCUGUUACGUAGAUCACCUAUAUGCCACACAACUGCAACUCUGUAACAGCCAAUUUUUAGCUUCUUCCUUAUCUAAGCCAUCCUGUAGGCCAUAGGAAUUAAAACUAGUUGGAUCAAGGAAAACUGAAUGCUAGAUCCAUACAAAACUAUUUGGAUAUUUGCCUUUGUAUUUUAUUGUUUUGAAAUUAUUUUUAAUGGUUCAAUAAACUCUUACUAGAACUACAAGCAAUAUAAUUACUUCUUCUGCUUUAUUAGAAAUGUUUUUGUAAUCAUGUUAAUUAUAUUACUUUUAACUAUAUAAGACUUGUGUCUCUUUUUUAUAAAUUGAUGUUUAUAUCCUCUGUAAGAUAAAUAUAAAGCCUUUUUGUUCGUAUGAGGAUGUGCUGUAAGAUUGCAGGGAGUAUAAAAUUUGGCAGUGGAGUAGGUGACUUGUAUUAUUAGUCUGAUCUUAAUGUUGUAACAUACUGAUCAUGCAAAAUAUAUAGUUUGUUUUUGCUGUUUAAUACGUGUAGGACUGUAACAAACAGACUAGAGAAGAUGGCCAUAAGGUACGAGAAAGCAAGUAAAUUACUAUCUAAUUAAAGUAUUUGAUUCUAAUACUAGCAGAGUUCUGUCUAGAAAAUAAAUUAACUUUCUGUAUGCUUUUUUUGGUCUCAGUUUUCCAAUAAUUUCCCUCAACUCUGAUAUGUCUGUUCAAUAAUAUUUCUGAUGUUAAGAAUUGAAGGGGGUGUAGCUCAGUGGUAGGGCGCAUGCUUAGCAUGCAUGAGGCCCUGGGUUCAAUCCCCAGCACCUCCACAAAGGUUUUCUGGCUGGACACGGUGGCUCACACCUGUAAUCUCAGCAUUUUGGGAAGCUGAGUUGGGCAGAUCACUAGAGGUCAGGAGUUCAAGACCAGCGUGGCCAACAUGGUGAAACCCUGUUUCUAUUAAAAAUACAAAAAAAUUAGCUGGUCACGGUGGCACACACCUGUAAUCUCAGCUACUUGGGAGGCUGAGUCACGACAAUCGCUUGAACCUGGAAGGCGGGGGUUGUAGUGAGGUGAGGUCAUGCCACUGCACUCUCUAGCCUGGGUGACAGAGCGAGAUUCCAUCUCAAAAAAAAAAAAAAUUUUAGUUUAAGAACAAAUAAUAUUGUUUAUUUUCAUAUGGGAUUUGAAAUCUGAAUCUAAUAAUUAUUGGUAUUAUUACUAAUUCCCUUGCACCACUGAACAAUUUUCUGUUUAGGGAUGUUGGCUAUAACAAGUAUAUAGACAUAGUGAUAUAUAAUUUUUCUGUUUUAAAACUGAGUUUCUUUUUUUU
Molecule: long non-coding RNA, 4416 nt
Organism: Symphalangus syndactylus (siamang)
Lineage: Eukaryota; Metazoa; Chordata; Mammalia; Primates; Hylobatidae
Source: RefSeq, a predicted model, not a curated record